UACAGAGGGGGCAAGCGUUGUUCGGAAUUACUGGGCGUAAAGGGCGCGUAGGCGGCCUGUUAAGUCGAACGUGAAAUCCCCGGGCUCAACCCGGGAACUGCGUCCGAUACUGGCAGGCUUGAAUCCGGGAGAGGGAUGCGGAAUUCCAGGUGUAGCGGUGAAAUGCGUAGAUAUCAGGAGGAACACCUGCGGUGUAGACGGCUUACUGGACCAUCACUGACGCUGAGGCACGAAAGCGUGGGUAGCAAACAGG
Molecule: ribosomal RNA, 253 nt
Filed under: uncultured bacterium
Lineage: Bacteria
Description: partial 16S ribosomal RNA
Rfam family: Bacterial small subunit ribosomal RNA
Source: RNAcentral